GACACAAGGAGCUCGAACUCGCGACGUUUAGGCGUCAAAUUAAGCUUUGUUUUUUAUUUUAUAAAAUGGCUGGCGACCAGUCCAGGGUAUACCUCACCUAUCGCCCAGUCAGCUGGGAUAAGUUCCAGCUCACCCUUGAUUCUGUGUAGAAAAUGGAUGGAUGGAUGGAGCAUGACAGCCUCACACUUCUGAGUUGGAGAAAGCAAUCGCUGAUGCAUUCAGGAGCAGGCUUAUGCCUGCUGUUUAUUGUUUCUGCGCUCCCUACCUCGAGAAGCACAACAUCACUUCAGGGACUGACAGAAGUGUCCUGUAAUUGCUGUGGCCGCACCGCACCGGCUGAGGACCCCACCCAAUCAAUCGAGAGGCAGGAUCAGGCCCAGGGAUCCACCGAGAGCAGCCUGGCGGACUGGACACCCAGCCCCACCGAGGCGCCGCGACAACCGGCCAACCAGCGGGGGCCCCAGGAAAGUAGCUACGGUCACCAGACAUGGAGAGGUCAUCUUCCCAUUUGGUGAUUGGAGAAGCUUCAUUAUAUGCUUGACAAACUCCGGCAGUUCAAGGGUGCUCUGAAGUGUUGGUAUUCUUUUUUUAAUUGCUGCUUUUAAUUUAUUGUAUUGAAGAAAGUUUCCGGC
This is a long non-coding RNA of Phyllopteryx taeniolatus (common seadragon), 632 nucleotides long. RefSeq lists it as uncharacterized. The transcript has 7 exons. Lineage: Eukaryota; Metazoa; Chordata; Actinopteri; Syngnathiformes; Syngnathidae. The record is from RefSeq and is a predicted model, not a curated record.